Non-coding RNA from Pantoea sp., 114 nucleotides. The record is from Rfam. Lineage: Bacteria; Pseudomonadati; Pseudomonadota; Gammaproteobacteria; Enterobacterales; Erwiniaceae.
GCCAGGAGAGCCCGCAGGGAUGCGGGCGAAAGGUGGGGCUGGAACAGGGAUGUUCCAUCCCCACCGGUCCGUCAGGCAGGCGAAUGGCGUGAAGGGACCGCGUCAGCGGCGCGA